RNAcentral lists this transfer RNA (58 nucleotides) under Neotoma lepida (desert woodrat). It matches the Rfam family "tRNA", at positions 8 to 63 of the family's 71-position model. Rfam says of the family: Transfer RNA (tRNA) molecules are approximately 80 nucleotides in length. Their secondary structure includes four short double-helical elements and three loops (D, anti-codon, and T loops). Further hydrogen bonds mediate the characteristic L-shaped molecular structure. tRNAs have two regions of fundamental functional importance: the anti-codon, which is responsible for specific mRNA codon recognition, and the 3' end, to which the tRNAs corresponding amino acid is attached (by aminoacyl-tRNA synthetases). tRNAs cope with the degeneracy of the genetic code in two manners: having more than one tRNA (with a specific anti-codon) for a particular amino acid; and 'wobble' base-pairing, i.e. permitting non-standard base-pairing at the 3rd anti-codon position. Lineage: Eukaryota; Metazoa; Chordata; Mammalia; Rodentia; Cricetidae. The record is from Rfam by way of RNAcentral.
UAGCUCAGUUGGUAAAGCGUGCGACUCUUAAUCUCAGGGUCGUGGGUUCAUGUCCCAU